RNAcentral lists this ribosomal RNA (616 nucleotides) under uncultured bacterium. RNAcentral's name for it is "bacterial SSU rRNA". It matches the Rfam family "Bacterial small subunit ribosomal RNA", at positions 9 to 606 of the family's 1533-position model. The record is from RNAcentral.
GAGUUUGAAUCAUGGCUCAGGACGAACGCUGGCGGCAUGCCUAAUACAUGCAAGUCGAGGAGGGGAGGACGAGAGCUUGCUCUCUGAUUUUAGCGGCGGACGGGUGAGUAACACGUGGGCAACCUGCCCUACAGAUGGGGAUAACUCCGGGAAACCGGGGCUAAUACCGAAUAAUCAGUUUGUCCGCAUGGACAAACUCCGAAAGACGGUUUCGGCUGUCACUGUAGAUGGGCCCGCGGCGCAUUACUAGUUGGUGGGGUAAUGGCCUACCAAGGCAACGAUGCGUAGCCGACCUGAGAGGGUGAUCGGCCACACUGGGACUGAGACACGGCCCAGACUCCUACGGGAGGCAGCAGUAGGGAAUCUUCCACAAUGGACGAAAGUCUGAUGGAGCAAUGCCGCGUGAGCGAAGAAGGUUUUCGGAUCGUAAAGCUCUGUUGUAAGGGAAGAACACGUACGGGAGUAACUGCCCGUGCCAUGACGGUACCUUAUUAGAAAGCCACGGCUAACUACGUGCCAGCAGCCGCGGUAAUACGUAGGUGGCAAGCGUUGUCCGGAAUUAUUGGGCGUAAAGCGCGCGCAGGCGGUUCUUUAAGGUCUGAUGUGAAAGGCCCAC